GGGUGCCAAGGCCGGCGCCGAGAUGGGUGUUGCUUCAUUCAUUUUCAGGCCCCUCUUGUCACCGAUGAUGCUCUGUAAUCGGGUGCCACUGACGACGAGGUCAUGUUGCGCUCGCGGGUGCACAGGGUGAAAUGACCUGAGCGGAGGGCUGGGAAAUGGCUCCGUCUGUGGAUCUGCUGCCGACGGUCCGGGCCGUGAGAUGCUGUUCUUAGAUGUGUUUCAAACAUUUACGACAGCCGCCAGCUUCACUCGCAUUCCCCCUCUGGAGGCGGGUCCUCCGAAGCGGUCUCUUGAUUGAGAUUGAAGUGAGCGUUGAAGGAGUUCAGAUCAUCUGGCGACGAGGGCUCGACCGUGCUUCAGCGGCCUGCGGUGGUUUGGAUCGUAUCCCGAUGGUUCGGUGCAAAGUCUCCUUUGUCGUCUGACCCGAGAAUUUUCAGGCCUUGGUGAGGAAGUUUUAAACUACCUGGUAAAAUGGGCGUCCUGCAAAACAUCGACUGAACUUUGCAGCAUGGCAAAUAAAUACUGUGUAUGCAGAACAAAAAUGAGCAGUGGAUGAUUCCACCGUGAAGGCAGAAAUGUGCAAAGAGCCUUGGACCAACUCCAACCUCAUCAGAGGGGCACAUUUAUUUCAGUCAGAAAUGCAUUGGCUUUAAUUUCACGCUGCGCGCAUUUCGAUACCAGCAAGAGGGUGGAAAAAGAGGAGCCGGGAGAAAAAGGGAAGUUUCAUUUUUACCAGAAGUCCUGAUACCAAAGACAAUCAAAGGUGCACACUUACAAAGGAAGAGGUAAAACGCAAGGAGAGGAUGUUCAUGUUUAUUCACUCGUUUAUUCACAUUAUGUAUUUAUUCACCAUGAGAAUUUCCUUGUAUGUUCAACAUACCAUGCAAAUAAAUGUUUCUGAUUGUGAUUUAGAGGAGUGUGGGGGGGAUUAGAAUUUUGUUAAAAUAAUUAAAUUUGUUCGCGUUUGAUUUUCUGGAACUGACCCUUUUAAAAAAUAUAUUUUGCGGAGUCAAAGAUGAGCUCCUGGCAGAAGAAUCUUUAAGAGGGAUAAACGCUCUCGUCUAACACUGAAAAUCUCCGACAAGGC
Long non-coding RNA from Gasterosteus aculeatus aculeatus (three-spined stickleback), 1087 nucleotides. The record is from Ensembl. Lineage: Eukaryota; Metazoa; Chordata; Actinopteri; Perciformes; Gasterosteidae.